UCUGGUAACAUUGGUGAGUGAGGACCA
Molecule: non-coding RNA, 27 nt
Filed under: Homo sapiens (human)
Lineage: Eukaryota; Metazoa; Chordata; Mammalia; Primates; Hominidae
Source: RNAcentral